CGAAGACCUGAGAAUAAUCAACACUACGUUCGAGGACCUUAUAUCCCAAAAUAAUCAACAAAUAAGAAUCAACAACGUACUCAACACCAAAAUCGACACAAUAAUGACGACUGUCAAUAGGCUUAUUGACCAACAAUCAACAGAAAACAAAAUCCUUUUAGAAGAAAUGGAUGCCAUAACACUACUUCUUUACAUGGAUACAACGAACAAAAUCCUGGAAGAUUUGGAAGACACAAUUCUGAGGACUCGGAUCAAUCUCGCCAACAAAAGAGAACGGUCAUCAAAAUUGGAAUUCAAAAGGACACCCCAUCCCAGGAGGAAUGAAAAGAAGUUCGAGGACGCCCUUCGAUCUACCCCCGGAGGAAUUAUGCGCCGGUCAUCGCAUUAAUGCUGAGUAUUAAGGUCCAAAGUACGCCACGCGGUCACACCACCGUCCACGCCGUCCAACAUGCAGCCCGGUUACCAAGCCACCGUCAGCAGAAUCAGAACCGUCCAACUAGGUCGGCCAGGAAAAGCAGAGUAGGCAAGUUUAGGUUUUAAAUAGGAAUCAAUCGACUCUUCGAGGGUCAGUAUUAAUCAAUCAGUCUUUAGGAUCGGUAUUUUUUCGUAUUAGUUAUAAAAGUGAGUGCAUGUAAUGUAAAAGUAGCAAAUAAAGUUCUUUUUUUUAGAAUAAAUCA
Molecule: long non-coding RNA, 677 nt
Organism: Armigeres subalbatus
Lineage: Eukaryota; Metazoa; Arthropoda; Insecta; Diptera; Culicidae
Exons: 2
Source: RefSeq, a predicted model, not a curated record